Molecule: long non-coding RNA, 270 nt
Filed under: Homo sapiens (human)
Lineage: Eukaryota; Metazoa; Chordata; Mammalia; Primates; Hominidae
Description: HSALNT0319789
Source: RNAcentral
GCCCACCUUGCUCGCAGGUGCCCUUGCUGACCUGGGUGAUGGCCUUCUCCCCGCGGCUCUCGGCCCUCUGGCUGGCGGCGCGCAGCUGGCAGCCGCUCGGGUAGCGGCUCUUGCACACGCACACGCCGCUUACACCCGGACCGCCGGCUGCUGCCCCGGCUUUACCCUUCCGCCUCUUGCGGCUCUUCACGCACUCCAUGCCCGGCGCGCAGUACCCCCUGCCGGCUCGCAGGGGCCGCAGGUGUCCGAAGAGGAGGAAGAGGAGAGGGG